Molecule: non-coding RNA, 7317 nt
Organism: Salmo salar (Atlantic salmon)
Lineage: Eukaryota; Metazoa; Chordata; Actinopteri; Salmoniformes; Salmonidae
Source: RefSeq, a predicted model, not a curated record
CGAGGAAGUAGCCGACAACCUUUUGUUUCCGGAACAAAAACAAACGAAAUAGAGAUAUGUUCGAAGCAUACCGCCUAUCUAUGGUGUGACGUCUCACGGCAUUAACUGAACACUGCAUUGCAAAUGAGCUAGUAGGACUAUAACAUAAGUGUUUAACAUAUAAAUAGUACCAAGCCAAGGAAGGGCAUGUCCAAUAGCGUCGUCUUUCAUGCUCAGCUAGCCUCCAUCAUUGAGGUUUUGGCGAAUGCAGCCGUUGCCGAAAUCUGCAAACUUGUAGAUGAUGGCCAUGCUGCCUUACGUUUGGAAAUUUCCCAUAGCCAGAAAGAAAUUGAUAACCUACGGAGGAAGCUGCUUUUGACAAAAUUCCAGAAUUCUCGACGAAGCGCAGAGAGAUUUGGAGCCCUGCGACGCACAGUUCACAGGCGAGUGGACACCGUUCAUGUUGUCCGGGAGAGAGAGAGCUUCGUAGAAAAGGCAAAAAGCAGACUUGGAUAUGUGGAAAAUCGUUUUGCCUACAGUGAAGGGGGCAAAUGCAUGCAGGAUGUCACCAACCGGAGAGACGCAGGACGCACAGCGACAGACCAGGAUGGGGCCGUGCAGAUGGCAGAUAUACAAGAGGCAGCACUUAUCAAAAUGGAAAAUCUUGACACCAGCAUAACGGAAGAGAUUGUCCAACUGGUCAGUGAGAGCAGUGAGAAGAUUGUGCCAGAACCAGGUUUUUCAUCAUCUACUGAAACCACAGAUCUUCUGGACCAGCAGGGCAACAGACACAGAGCUCCAGACACCUCACUCAAUAUAGAACCUGAAAACCAGAAGUUCCAGCAUCCAGCAUCACAAUACAGCAGAGCAAGACAGGACCAUCAGGUUGCUGAGGGUGUGACCUGGGAAACUGACCAUCAACCCAUAUCAUACAGCCUGUCUCAAUGGACAGAGAACCAAGAGACUGACAACCAAACUGUGAAUGCUCCUCACAAUGCCGGGCCAGACUCCAAAAGGCUGUGUGAACAUCCAGAGAGGAGAGGGGCACCAGGUAACUCUGGGGUCUGCAUGUCUGCUUUGGGCUCUCUGGACUGGGUGUCUGAUGUGGUGCUGGUGGACUCAGUUCCCAUUAAAGUGGAGGCAGAUAUGAGUUCAGAAUGGAGCAUAACUGGCCAAGAGGCGACAUCUGGAGAGGUCUGUUCAGACGGCAGGCAGCUUGUGGACAACAGAGGAAGAGGGGGAAUGGAAUCUGGACAGACAAAGUGUCCCCCUGACACUCAACAUGCAGAGCAAGGGAGAACUGUAGGAUCAAGGUCCAAGUUGCCAGAUUUCAGUGGACUGCCCAACCGAAGCAGAUUUUCAACCCCAAGGGUCACUCUCCACCAGGUUCCCCAAAGAGGGAAGCAAGCUCCCUUCCUGAAUUUCAACAGAGGCUCCACUUCUUCAUCGAAAGGCAUAGAAAAGCAGCCGCAACAGCUAACGUCUCACUCCACCAAGAGGCAGCUCCGGUGCAGCCUCUGCGGAAAGCCCUUUCCUCAGCCGGCAUACCUAAGGAGGCACAUGCGGGUCCAUACGGGGGAGAAACCGUACGGCUGCAGCCACUGCACCAAGCGCUUCUCCCACAGCCACCAGCUGAAGAUGCAUGAGAGGGUGCACACCGGAGAGAAACCGUUUCAUUGCAUCUACUGCGGGAAGUGCUUCACCCAGUCCGGCCACAUGAAGAGGCACCUCCUUGUCCACACUGGUGGCAGGCCACAGGACGUUGUGCUGCCCUGAGUGUUCCAAGGUGAAAUUUCCCCUAGGUACAGAUCUAGAAUCAGCUUCCUCUUCCCCAAUCCUAACCUUAACCAUUAGUGAAAAAAAUAUACUAAACUGACCGAAGAUCAGCUUUCUAGGGGUAACUUCACACUACUCCACCUGGCAUAAUGAUAAGUAGGGCCAGGAGUUUUUCCUCACCAUGUGAUCAGACCAGGAAAAACUCCUCUCUAGUUGUAAGUGGAAUGGCUCCACACUACUGGGGUUUUCAUAUGAACACUGGGUCCAUGUGUUUUUAACAGUUUGGAUGGUUUCCACAUUGAACACUACCCUCUGUGUGUAGUGGUAGUGUUUUCAGUUCAACUGGCUUGAUGCUUGGUCCAGAGUGGACUGAUAAUCUAUAACUUAUGACAGGUGAAGAUUUUAAAAAUCAUUGGUGCAGUACAGUAAUUUAUUUGAAUUGUAUUUAUUAUUUAUUUGACCAGGUGAGUUGACUGAGAAUACAUUGUGAUUUACAGCAACGUCCUGGGGUAAACUACAAAACAUAGGCCUAGUUAAAAAGCCAUAGUUAACACACAGAAAUAUAACCAAGCAAAGGAAAAAAAUACAAUAAAGAUCAAUUUCAAGAAUUCCAAUUUCCUUUUGCCUCUCAACAAUAUAGAUGUACUAUAAGAAUGAUAGGCUACAAGCAAAUUAUAGAGAUGUGAUGGAAUUAAUAUAUAUUUAGUGUCUGUCCUCAUACAAUAAAGUAAGCUAAUGUAAUUGAAUAAUAAUAAUUGAUUGGAUUUAUAUAGUGCUUUUCUACCAACUGAGGUACUCAAAGUGGUUUACAUAGUAAGGGAGAAACUCACCUGAUCCACCACCAAGGUGAUGCAUAGCAACCAUUUUUAUGCCAGAACGCUUACCAAACAGCAGCAAGAAAGGUGAGGAGUGAUAUAUGCCAAUUGGGGAGAGGAUUAGGUGGCCAUGAUGGUUUGAGGGCCAGACUAGGAAUUUAGCCAGGAUACCGGGGUGAACACACCUACUCUUACGAUAAGUGCCAUGGGAUUUUUAAUGACCACAGAGAGUCAGAACACCCGUUUAACAUCCCAUCCAAAAGACAGCACCCUUCGUAGGGCAAUGUCCCCUCUACUGCCCUGGGGAUCUCCUUAGACCAGAGGGGAGUGCUCUCUACUGGCUUUACAAUACCACUUCCAGCAGCACCUGGUCUCCCAUCCAGGGACCAUCCCUGCUUAGCUUCAGAGGCAAACCAGCAAUGGGAUGCAGGGUGGCAUGCUGCUGGUAUCAAGUUGAAGGCAUGUAUCAAAUUGUUGUUUACUGAAACUCCCAAAGUCUUUCCAAUCAAUGUAAUAAAUGUUAAACAAUAGCCUACCUUUUGUGUGGUCACCUAGAUGAUAAUUGUCAACACUGUUAUGAUUUGAGACAAGCUUGGGGACUCGUCUUGAUAAAUCAAUCAACGUCAGAUUUUAGUUUUCACUGAAUCUCCGUUUUGAUGUUGGUUAGGCUGCAAUUAGUCUGGAGAAAUGUUAUCUAUAGUUGAGGUGAGUGCUGCUCUGGUCAUCUUGUCUAGUUAGCUCAAUUAUUAGAAUAUUUUGCCAGUAGUUUAACAGGUGGGUUAUUUUGCUCUUGACUAAAGUUGUUUAGUAGCCUAGGCCUACUCACGACCAAAAACCUGUUGUUUCACUGAAUCUCCAUCUGUAACUAUAGGCUACUUGGUUAAUUCUCUGGCUGCACAAAUAGGUAUUCAUUUACUCAUCGAUCACUGAUCAGAAACAUUUAGCAUGCAAUAGUGUAGCCUGAAUCAAGUGUUUAUCUAUCACUGAUCAGAAACAUUAAGCAUGCAAUAGUGUAGCCUGAAUCAAGUGUUUAUCUAUCACUGAUCAGAAACAUUUAGCAUGCAAUAGUGUAGCCUGAAUCAAGUGUUUAUCUAUCACUGAUCAGAAACAUUUAGCAUGCAAUAGUGUAGCCUAAAUCAAGUGUUUAUUGAUCACUGCUCAGAAACAUUUAGCAUGCAAUAGUGUAGCCUGAAUCAAGUGUAGCACAAUUUGUUUGUUCGAUCGCGUAUAGGCAACUAUUAACGCCCGCGGAGGUUGUGAAAUAUGAACACGAGAAUCACAUUAUUUUGAAAAUAUAGAUUGCUAGUAUUUUCUGAAGAUAUUAUCAAUGUAAGAGCAUACGCGCCUGCUCCCUAACAAAGUGAAGUGAGGGUAGAGAUGAAACGUGGAACAAAAAAGCAUGGACUUGGGCUCUGUUUCAAAAUACCACCUUUUUUUUUAUAGGACAGCGGUUCCACACGUUUCCGUGACAAGUUGUGAAGGGAAAAUAUAAAUGUCAUUUUUUCCCCCCUGUAUUCCAUUAUAUUCUUAUUAUAAAAUAUAUAUGUGUUGACUAUGAUCGGGUAGGUGGGUCUUGUCUGUUCAAUGAACAAAAUAAUGAACUAUUAAUUUCAUUACUUUGGACGUAACGUUGCCUAAUUAAACCCCAAAAUAUGUUAUUCUAUUCUUUUGAAAAUACAUUUUUAUUCGUCUUAUAAUGUUUCGUAGGCCCUGCCUGAAUGCAUUAAUAAUAGAUAUAUUAUUAUAUAUAUUAUUUUUGGUGGUAUGUAUUUAUAUUCAAUGGAUUUAUUAAAGUAGACGCCCACCCACAUCUGCACACCAAUACUACCACCCAACAGCGGCAUGCACAUGGGAGGUAUAAAAGACGUAUUCAGGCAAGAAUGUGGUAAAAAUAGGCAUGUUGUAAGGGGGUCAUAUAAAAAUGGCCCAAUUUUUUACAGAAACAAAACACCGUAAAUCCUAUGUGAAAGCAGUACUCCACAUCUAAACCAUUGUUGUUAUUGUGGAGCACUCCUCUACAGUAGGUGGCGGUGUUGUACUUUCAAUUGAAUUGCACAGUCCAGUUUAUGAUUACAUUACCGUGAAGAUGAGGAAAAAACAAAUCUCAACAGCUACUUACAAACAAAGCUAGCUAGCGAUGUUUAUGAUAUACUUAUAUCCAUUUUACUAGCUAGAUAGAUAAUUGUGAAUGAUCAUAAUAUAGAAAAACAAAAAUACUGUUUCACUGAAAAGGGGCCAAAAGCGUUGGGGGACAAUGUCGGGUUCCGUUGCUGAUUUCCAGGCGCAGAUAGCCUCAAUCAUGGAGGUGCUAGCCAACGCUGCUGUAGCCGAAAUCUGCAAAGUUGUUGACGAUGGCUAUGCGGUUGUACACCUGGAGAUGACUCAAAGCCACAAGGAGAACGAAUUUCUCCGGAGGAAAAUGAAAUUGAUGGAACUUCAGGUCGCCAGGUUUCGAGCAGAGAGAACAAAGUUUUCAGAGGGGUCCGUCCACAACCGCUUCCAUGGAAUACGCCUGCUAAACAGACACAACCAUCGAGAGACUCCAACGACAGGACCUACUUGGCAAAGCAGAGCCAGACUUUCCAACAGGAGUUUUGGGAACAGCAGCAUACCAAGAGACAGACAGCCCAUAGACGUGGACCAAGAGGAUGUCUCUACAUCAAGGCAUAUGUAUGCUACAAGUGAUGAGCAGUCAGCAGAGACAGAGGAAGGGGAACCAGACCUGCUGAUCAUCAAGGAUGAGGGGGAAGCAGAUGACCAGGACUCUAGGAUCAGCCACCCAGCCAGAACAGUGGAGGGCAGCAGAGAGCUAACCACCCAACUGACUACAGACCCUGCCUUCCAGCCCAGAGGCAACAACAUCAACACCGCUAUGGAGCAGUCAGCAGAGACAGAGGAAGGGGAACCAGACCUGCUGAUCAUCAAGGUGGAGGGAGAAGCAGAUGACCAGGACUCUAGGAUCAGCCACCCAGCCAGAACAGUGGAAGGCAGCAGAGAGCUAACCACCCAACUGGCUGCAGCCACCACAGAGGACCCCGCCUUCCAGUCCAGUGGCCCCAGAAGCAACAACAACAACUACAACAACACCGCUAUGGAGGUCAGUGGAUCUGACGCCGGCCUCGGGUUUACCCCCAAGUCGUUCCAUUCCUCAUCAGAACAUGUGAUAGUGAUUGACUCUGUAUCCAGUGGGCAGCAGGUAGAUAGAGAUUUUGAGUGGGGUCAGGUGGGUACAGCUACUACACCACAGGUCAAUGGGACUGGAAAUAAGCAGGGAGUGGGAGUGUUUAACAGAAAUGCACCAACGAUUCACCCUGUACACCACGAAUCGAUGAGAGACAACACUAUGCAAUUGGUUUCACCCGGAUUCCGUCCCACAGAGAUAAAUACAAGCACCCGUCUUGACGCAGGAAAUACAGGUGAGGCCAACAAAGCUAGUUUGCGCUCUUUGGCAAGCCUCCAUAGACACUCUGAAAUACCAGGAAGAAGAGCUCAACAACCAGCUCAUACCUCACUUCCUGUCAGCCAUUUUAGACCAAGCGCCACAACUUCCUCUCACUCAAGUAGUCUUGCUACUCACAUUAGACCUGGCACCAUAGAACGACCGUACGGUUGCCCGAGCUGCCAUAAGAAGUUUGUUCAUGAGAGCGACUUGCGGCAGCACGUCGUCGUUCACACCAGAAAGCGGGUGUUCGCCUGCACCUUGUGUGAGAAGAGCUUUGUGUCCCCCAGCAAGCUCCAAGUGCACCAGAACGUCCACACUGGGGAGAAGCCCUUCAGUUGUGCACAGUGCGGACGCAGGUUCUCCCAAUCCAGCAAUCUGAAUAGACAUCAGAAGCUUCAUCAUUGAGAACUGACACAGAAGCAAGAGAGUCCUAUUGUUGGGUUCUGAGAAUAUGAAAUAUACUUAUUCAUGUCACUGAGGGAGAGAGGGUAAUGUAUAACGUUUACAUUGCGUCAGGAUAUGCUAUUGUUAGCCAUUAGGGAUCCUAUGGGAGGGAUCCUCUGGGAGGAGAAGAGACACAGUCUGGUACCAGGCACCAUGACAGCCGUGAGUUGGGCAGGGAAGCGAUCACAUGUGGCAGGCAUUGAUAAGGGGAGAGAGCUUUGGAUUAGGCAUCAAGGGGGUUGAGGUCAGGUCAGAUCUCCUUAAGGGAGAAACAACGGUUAAUUACCCCAUCACUUCGUCUUCCUGUCGAACCAUAACAGAUGGAAGGAUUGGAGAGGAGGAGGAGUGCAUCUGAAUUGGAGUAUAUAUACUUGUGUUGGUGGAAACGUGUUUUGUCUAAUGCAGCUGUAUUGAUCCUCUGGGAGAAUAAACUUGGUUAAGCUUUCAUAGUGUCUGUUGAGUUGUUUACUCUGAGAAUUAGAACCUAACACUAUUGAAAACAACUGUUAUAGCAAUAUCAUGAGUUCAAACGUCAUUGGUUCUAACGUAGUCGUAUGUCUGCAGGAUGUUUACCCUGGUCUCAUACGUCUACAAUACAACGUGGUUCGUAUUUACAUUAUCUACAAGGAUUGUUACGUUUUCUUGGCUUCUUAAAAUGCCAACAGCAUCACUCACAUUGACUGUUAAGGUUGAUCAUGGUUGUGUUCUAAUAAUACUGUGUGCCUCACACUAAAGUUAUAGCAGAAAUUGUACUGUGACACUGAAAAACUGUCUGUUCUUUUGUACCAAUUUCACCAAUGGCUGUUGCUGUUUGUUCUUUAAAUCCUAUAAUUCCAUCAAUAAAUCAUAUUUUUCAAAGAA